AUCCACAGCUAUGCCACCCUGAACACACCUGAUCUCCUGUGAUCUUGGAAGCUAAGCGGGUUGGGUCCAGUUAGCACUUGGAUGAGAGAGUACCUGGGAAUACCAGGUGCUGUAGGCU
Molecule: ribosomal RNA, 118 nt
Filed under: Aotus nancymaae (Ma's night monkey)
Lineage: Eukaryota; Metazoa; Chordata; Mammalia; Primates; Aotidae
Source: RNAcentral